AGCAGCCGCGGUAAUUCCAGCUCCAAUAGCGUAUAUUAAAGUUGUUGCAGUUAAAAAGCUCGUAGUUGAAUUUCGGGGUUAGUAGGUUGGUCAUGCCUCUGGUAUGUACUGGUCUCACUGAUUCCUCCUUCCUGAUGAGCCGUAAUGCCAUUAAUUUGGUGUUGCGGGGAAUUUGGACUGUUACUUUGAAAAAUUAGAGUGUUUAAAGCAAGCUAACGCUUGAAUACAUUAGCAUGGAAUAAUGAAAUAGGACGUUCGAUCCUAUUUUGUUGGUUUCUAGGAUUGACGUAAUGAUUAAUAGGGAUAGUUGGGGGCAUUAGUAUUCAAUUGUCAGAGGUGAAAUUCUUGGAUUUAUUGAAGACUAACUACUGCGAAAGCAUUUGCCAAGGAUGUUUUCAUUAAUCAAGAACGAAAGUUAGGGGAUCGAAGACGAUCAGAUACCGUCGUAGUCUUAACCAUAAACUAUGCCGACUAGGGAUCGGAUGAUGUUAAUUUUUAAUGUACUCAUUCGGCGCCUUAC
RNAcentral lists this ribosomal RNA (520 nucleotides) under uncultured Glomus. Its description in RNAcentral is "SSU rRNA". It matches the Rfam family "Eukaryotic small subunit ribosomal RNA", at positions 569 to 1091 of the family's 1831-position model. The record is from RNAcentral. Lineage: Eukaryota; Fungi; Glomeromycota; Glomeromycetes; Glomerales; Glomeraceae.